This is a long non-coding RNA of Equus caballus (horse), 3251 nucleotides long. The record is from Ensembl. Lineage: Eukaryota; Metazoa; Chordata; Mammalia; Perissodactyla; Equidae.
ACCGGCCAGCCGGGGUCUGUAUCACCUUGGCCUCCAUAGCUCCCAUGUGGGCCUCUGGGGCUGUUAAGCUUAUUGAGCUAAACCCGGGACCCGGGUUCUACCCCCAGGGGGUUAGGGAAGUAAGUAUUGUCCCAUUCCAUCGAUUUUUCCCCUUAUUCUGGUGACCUUUCUUGCUGAUAGAGAGCUCGAGUUGAAAGUAAUGAAUAAGACGUAUUUCGGGCAUCUAUUGCUACGCCACAAACCAGCCCAAAACACAGUGGCUUAAAGCAAUAAUGACUGCGAGUGCCUCACAGUUCUGCUGGUUGGGUAGAUAAUUCCUCUGCUGGUUUUGUCUGGGCUCACUCACAUGGCUGUGUUCCCUGGACGGUCAGUUGGAGUGGAAGGUCCAGGACAGUCUCCCUCAUGGACUUGGGAGGUAGUUCCGGUUAUUGGCUGGGACACCUCGUUUCUCCUCCACAUGGCCUCUCAUCCUCCAGCAGGCUAAAUGGCUUCCUUACAUGGCGGUCUCAGGAGCAUGGUCCAAGAGGUGAAGAUGAGAGCCACGGGCUUCUGGAGGCCUGGGCUCCAGAACUCACACAACCUCACUUCCACCAAGUUCUACUGGUCAAGGCAACUCACAAGACCAGCUCAGUUUCAAGGGGGAGCCAAAGAGACUCUGCCUCUUUAUAGGAGUUGCUGCAAAGUAUGUUUUCAAUCAACCACAAGGUGAGAAAGCAUAAAUGGCCCCAUGGAAAACUUUCCCCACCGUUAGAAAAUAAUUUGGCAAAGUUUUAUUUUCUGAAUCAAAAGCCUAGAUUCCCAGACUCAUAAAGAAUUUUUCUCUUUGGGAAAAGUACAUACAAAAGUAAGCCAACAGGCUCACAUCAAGUUAUGCCUCGAGAGCAAUGUUUCUCGGCCCUGGUUGAACAUUAAAGUCACUUCAGAGGUGUUGCCAAAACCCACGUGCCCGGGUCUCACCCAAGACCUGCUGAAUAAGAACUGUGAUUAGGGGUGGGCGCUGGGGGUGUUGGGCCCUGUGAUCUGCAUUUUCAAAAGCUCACCCAGUGAUUCUGAUCCAGAACCAGGGUUAAGAACAGCUGGGUUAACAAACAAGCUUUAUGGGGAAUAAGAUCAAGGCAGGAUACCUAGAAACGGGACAUGCGCCUAUCUUCAGUCCAACUGAACAGGUCGUGAGUGGGGCCAUGGGAAUCUCACACUGGGGUCUGGAGUCAACAAGACGCAGUCCCUGCUUUCAAAUUAUAGCUGACGCUCAUUGCAUGCCAAGCCCUGAUCUGUAGACUUUCCAUGCAUUAACUCAUUCAGUCUCCGCAGCUCCAUGAGGUGACUAGCAUCAGGAACCCCAUUUUACAAAUAGGGAAACUGAGGCACAGAGAGGUUACGUGGUUUGUCCCAAGUUGCACAGCCAAUAAGGAGGGAGAGCUGGAAUUCAAACUCAGGCCACCUGGCUUCAGAGUCCAUACCCUUAACCGUUAGGUAACCCUCCUCACUCCGAGCACACCUUCCAGGGCAAGAAGGCUGAUGUCCUCUCUGGCAGGCCUGAGCCGCUCCUGGCCGGGAAAGGAAGGGGCCACGAUUAGCGGUCUCUGCUUCCUCUGGCUCACUGGCUGUUCUUACAGCAGUGGCUGUCAACGCUCGCUGUGCGUGAGAAUCACCUGGGGAACGCCUUUACCUACGGAGGCCGGACACCAAAGAGCUGACUCACUUGCUCUGGGUGGGGCCCAGUCAUGGAAGAUUUUUAAAAGCCACCCAAGGGGGUUCUAGUGCACAGCCAGAGCUGAGAACACAGGCUCUGUGGCUGGAGAGGAAUUCCCCAUUCCCGGCAGGGAGGAUGGUGACCCCAGUGUCAGGACCACCUGUGACCACCAUAUCCCACGACCUUCCUAGAAAUCAAACAAGCUCGAGCUGAAAGGGGCUUCGAGAUGAACCAGACAGAGUGUUCCCAACCCCGACUGCAUGUUAGCAACAACUUGAAGAUGAAAUCGUGAAAGAUGGAAGUGAUCUGCCCAGAGCCACACAGUGGCAGAGACCACGCAAGAACUCAGGUCUCCCGACCACAGAUCAGGGAUAUGGCCGCACCCCCAGAUGCCCAUGGCCAGUCUCCUCCUUACCCAGUUCCACCAGCAUGUGUGGUUCUCCCGAGCCUGGGCACCACGAGCUGAAGGUUCGGACCCUCCCUGAGGACAGGCUGUGCAGAAAUCUCCCAAUGGACGCUGCUGGGUGUGCUCUACUCAGUGAUGACCCCUCACCUGCCGUUCUGAACCCACUGAGCCUUCCUGUUCACAACACGUUUGCAUCCAUUGUCUCCGAGGUGCAUUGAUGACAACCCCCACCUUACCCAAGGGCAGACUGAAGCUCAGAGAGCUGUCAGGACUUUGCCCAGGACCAAAGCCAGACCCAGGCCCAGACCCAGAUUUGUGGGUUCCGAGUCCAGCGUUCAGACCACCUGAGGCCAGCCCCCGGGGCCUGGGACCUCCUGCCUUGUGCUUGGUGGAAGGUUUCCCCCUGCCUGGACAGAUGAGCGGCAGAGCUUACAAUCAGAGGGCGGGGCAGGGGGUGGGGAAGGGCAGCCACCCCACUUUGACCAGUUCUGGUUUCUGCUUACCUGUUGCCAAAAGACAGAUAUUCCCCCCAAGGGUUGGGUGCAGAAAACAGACCUCACUUGUCGCUUUGGGUGAAGCCCGAAGCCAGGUGAUUUCUCCUUCUUCUCUUCUUCUCGCCUAAUCAUUUGAGGAGGAGGGAGAUUACGGUCUGCUUUCUCCCUGCCCACACCUCCUGACCGUGGCCAGACACGGAGAGCUGGGUCUUCAGGAGGGGCCGGGGUGGGUGGUGAUGUGUCUUACUUACAAGCACUGACAGUCUGAGAGCUCUGAAACAUCUUCCCAUCUCAGUCCUCGCAAUAGCUCUAGGAAGAGGACGCUGCUGUUAUCCCCACUUUAGAGAUUAGGAAAUAAGGCACAGAGAGGUUAAUGGACUUGCUCAACGACACACAGCUGGGAAGAGGCAGAGCCGGGAUUUGAACCCAGGCAGCCUGGCUCCAGAAUCCCUCUUACGACAACGAUGACUUACUGUGCGACAUCUGCCUGAGUUUCUCAUGCAGUGCCAGUCUCCCCAGGAAGGUUCUAAGCACAGUACAAAGCAAGAGUUCACACCCCACUGGCUCUUAAUCCAGAUGGAGACGCUGUAAAGACUAACCAUUUUCCGGGGUUGUUAGGGCGUGUUCAAGUGCACACGGACACCCGUGCAGGAUCUAG